UACGGAGGGGACUAGCGUUGUUCGGAAUUACUGGGCGUAAAGCGCACGUAGGCGGAUUUUUAAGUCAGGGGUGAAAUCCCGGGGCUCAACCUCGGAACUGCCUUUGAUACUGCAAAUCUCGAGUCCGGAAGAGGUGAGUGGAAUUCCUAGUGUAGAGGUGAAAUUCGUAGAUAUUAGGAAGAACACCAGUGGCGAAGGCGGCUCACUGGUCCGGUACUGACGCUGAGGUGCGAAAGCGUGGGGAGCAAACAGG
Molecule: ribosomal RNA, 253 nt
Filed under: uncultured bacterium
Lineage: Bacteria
Description: partial 16S ribosomal RNA
Rfam family: Bacterial small subunit ribosomal RNA
Source: RNAcentral